AUUAGAUACCCUAUUAUUUUAAAUGUAAAUUUAAAAUUCUAAAUUAGUAUUAGUUAUAUUCUUGAAAAUUAAAAAAUUUGGCGGUAUUUUAGUCUUUUCAGAGGAACCUGUCCUGUAAUUGAUAGUCCACGAUUAUAUAAACUUUAUUUAUUAGUUUACAUAUCGUCGUAGUUUGAAUAUUUUAUUAGAAAUUUAAUGUUCAAAAUUUUUUAUUAAAAAAUAAAUCAGAUCAAGGUGUAGUUUAUAAUAAAGGAGAGAUGGGUUACAAUAAAUAUAUUUUGGGAGAUUUUCUUUUAAAGAAAUUUGAAUUUGGAUUUGAGAGUAAUUUUUAAAUAUUUAUUUAAAAUGAUUAUAGCUCUAAAAUAUGCAC
Molecule: ribosomal RNA, 370 nt
Filed under: Acanthoscelides plagiatus
Lineage: Eukaryota; Metazoa; Arthropoda; Insecta; Coleoptera; Chrysomelidae
Description: partial 12S small subunit ribosomal RNA
Source: RNAcentral